Molecule: ribosomal RNA, 1112 nt
Filed under: Promicromonospora xylanilytica
Lineage: Bacteria; Bacillati; Actinomycetota; Actinomycetes; Micrococcales; Promicromonosporaceae
Description: bacterial SSU rRNA
Source: RNAcentral
UCGGGAUAAGCCUUGGAAACGGGGUCUAAUACCGGAUAUGAACGCUUGCCGCAUGGUGGGUGUUGGAAAGUUUUUCGGUGGGGGAUGGGCUCGCGGCCUAUCAGCUUGUUGGUGGGGUAAUGGCCUACCAAGGCGUCGACGGGUAGCCGGCCUGAGAGGGCGACCGGCCACACUGGGACUGAGACACGGCCCAGACUCCUACGGGAGGCAGCAGUGGGGAAUAUUGCACAAUGGGCGAAAGCCUGAUGCAGCGACGCCACGUGAGGGAUGACGGCCUUCGGGUUGUAAACCUCUUUCAGCAGGGAAGAAGCGCAAGUGACGGUACCUGCAGAAGAAGCGCCGGCUAACUACGUGCCAGCAGCCGCGGUAAUACGUAGGGCGCAAGCGUUGUCCGGAAUUAUUGGGCGUAAAGAGCUCGUAGGCGGUCUGUCGCGUCUGGUGUGAAAUCCCAUGGCUCAACUGUGGGCUUGCAUCGGGUACGGGCAGACUAGAGUGCUGUAGGGGAGACUGGAAUUCCUGGUGUAGCGGUGGAAUGCGCAGAUAUCAGGAGGAACACCGAUGGCGAAGGCAGGUCUCUGGGCAGUUACUGACGCUGAGGAGCGAAAGCAUGGGGAGCGAACAGGAUUAGAUACCCUGGUAGUCCAUGCCGUAAACGUUGGGCACUAGGUGUGGGGCCAGUUCCACUGGUUCUGUGCCGCAGCUAACGCAUUAAGUGCCCCGCCUGGGGAGUACGGCCGCAAGGCUAAAACUCAAAGGAAUUGACGGGGGCCCGCACAAGCGGCGGAGCAUGCGGAUUAAUUCGAUGCAACGCGAAGAACCUUACCAAGGCUUGACAUGUACGAGAAAGCCCCAGAGAUGGGGUUCUCUUUGGACACUCGUACACAGGUGGUGCAUGGUUGUCGUCAGCUCGUGUCGUGAGAUGUUGGGUUAAGUCCCGCAACGAGCGCAACCCUUAUCCUAUGUUGCCAGCGGGUUAUGCCGGGGACUCAUGGGAGACUGCCGGGGUCAACUCGGAGGAAGGUGGGGAUGACGUCAAAUCAUCAUGCCCCUUAUGUCUUGGGCUUCACGCAUGCUACAAUGGCCGGUACAGAGGGCUGCGAUACCKGAGKGGA